GAUGAACGCUGGCGGCGUGCCUAAUACAUGCAAGUCGAGCGAACAGACGAGGAGCUUGCUCCUCUGACGUUAGCGGCGGACGGGUGAGUAACACGUGGAUAACCUACCUAUAAGACUGGGAUAACUUCGGGAAACCGGAGCUAAUACCGGAUAAUAUAUUGAACCACAUGGUUCAAUAGUGAAAGACGGUUUUGCUGUCACUUAUAGAUGGAUCCGCGCCGCAUUAGCUAGUUGGUAAGGUAACGGCUUACCAAGGCAACGAUGCGUAGCCGACCUGAGAGGGUGAUCGGCCACACUGGAACUGAGACACGGUCCAGACUCCUACGGGAGGCAGCAGUAGGGAAUCUUCCGCAAUGGGCGAAAGCCUGACGGAGCAACGCCGCGUGAGUGAUGAAGGUCUUCGGAUCGUAAAACUCUGUUAUUAGGGAAGAACAAAUGUGUAAGUAACUAUGCGCGUCUUGACGGUACCUAAUCAGAAAGCCACGGCUAACUACGUG
RNAcentral lists this ribosomal RNA (497 nucleotides) under uncultured bacterium. RNAcentral's name for it is "partial 16S ribosomal RNA". It matches the Rfam family "Bacterial small subunit ribosomal RNA", at positions 28 to 507 of the family's 1533-position model. The record is from RNAcentral.